CCAGCUGCUAACUUCUGGACCAGCGACGUUGCCUGAUGAGUUGAUGGCUAUAAGUCAGCCAGGUCAGCCGCAGAGCGAGGGACAAGCAGCCGUGCCAACUCUUCUCUCCCAGCAGAUGUCUGAGACAUCUCCAUUACCUUCAGCUAUGGCAACCAACCAGAAUAUUGAGAAGAUAGAUGAUCUGCUUGUGUCAUUGCAAAACCAGGGGAACAAUAUGGCUGGCUCCUUUUAAUUAGUCAAAAAUUCUGUGAAGAAAAAAGUGAUGAUUUCCCAGAUCCUCUCAGACCUUCCAGCUCUGGAUUAGGCUGUGUGGAACUGAUUGCUUCUGUCAAAGAGUGGCCCUCUUCUUUAAAGAGCACACACAUGGCCAAUUGCAACGUCUAGCACCUAAGGCUAUGACCAUAGUAUUUGGGAUUUGUAGUGCCAAUAAUGCUGAAAAGCUAUGCUUUGUUUUACUAGGGCAUGGGAUUGUACUGUUACCAGAUUCCUAAACCUCAUUAAUAGUGGGGUGCUCUUUGAAUUUAAAGCAUAUCUAAUCAGCUAUUAUUGCUGGUAGAAGGUAAUACGUCACCACGUUUACUAUUGUUUCCUCCUCUUCCUUCUUUACAUCCCUCUUUUGACUAGAAAAGCUUGUGAAGCAGAAACAUCAAAUGCCUGUGCCAUGAGCCACAACUCACAGCUGUCAAUAAGUGAAGGGAUCAUGUUUUAGAGUUGAGUGGGAGAGCUAAUACUGCAAUUUGCUGAUUGCAGUAGGCAGCAAUGACAAAUAGUGAUAACUUUAAUCAGCAAGCAGAGGAUUGUUCGCUUCUGUAGAUAGCCACAGGUGGGCGCUUCCCAUCUGCAGAUGUGAUUAACGGUUCUCCAUGUCUCUUUACAUGUGGCUUGUACAUGGGGCAAGGGUUUGGUGGCUCUAACAAAAUGAAGAAAUUAAGGGGAUUUCAAUUCAAUUUUUCUUUUAAAAUCUUAUCCUCUAAAAUACCUUCUAAAGAAGAUUCUGCCUGGCUGAGGAAGGAAGUCUGUGUCUCUUGACUGGAUGGGUUCGAACUCUGUAAAGCUGCGUUAACCAUUCUCAAACCAGCCUUCUCCCUUCAAUUCUUCUCAUGGUUUUCCUUCUCUCUUCCUCAGUUUCAUAUUGUGUUUUAAAAAAAGACAUAAAUAUCCUAAUGGCUUUAAAUAUCAGAAGUAACUUUUAGGAAUCCGUGGCAUUAAAUUGCUUAGUCAGUGGAAGUUUUGACAAGUAAUCAAGGAUUAAGGAGAGAGGAAGCAAUUUCUCCACCACCUUCUAAAUGCAGGAACCCCCCUUAACCAGGCAUUUUUCCAGCUGUUAUUGAUGUAAAUCUUCAGCUUGACUUUACUCCAAGUAGGGGGCAAAUUACUUCAUUUUUAAGCAUUCUGGAAAAUUUCACUUCAUCCUGAGCUGUUGCAUCUUUGUAGCAUAUUGAGCUCACUGCAGUUUUGAGGUUGGUUUGUUUUUUUUUUCACCUACCAACAGUCCCCCAAGUCUAGUUUCUAGAUUGUCAUGUUUCAAUUUAAAACGAGAAAGAAAACAUCGACGAAUGUUACAGAAUGUAAAAACAACCCACUCCAGACCAUGCAGUUGUAUUGUGAGGCAUGUGCAUUUUUUGGGUGCUCCAACUAUCUGAACAGUUUUGUGAAUUUUCACUACAGCCUCAUUCAGAUCUUUGUUUCUUCUUCUGCACGUAGAAAGCUGUUGCUGCCUUUAGAGCCAGACAGCUGUCAUGUAUGGCGAUUAUGCCUUGGUAGAGUGUAGUUGGUAUCAUGUCAUUUUACAUUUUUGUUAUUUUGAAUAACAAAGACUAGUCUGUAAAUGGUUUUUUAAGUUCCUCUAGUCUGUUUACUGUGUGUUUUUUCCCUUAACUUGUGUGCUUAGUUGAGCCGUGUAGAGUUUUUGUUUGUUUAAUGGAUUUUCCCGUUUGUCAGUCUGUCCUACCGUUCACUUUCUCUUUCUGUCUCUCUCUUUCUCUCUCUCAUUGAGAGGCAUUGAAUUACGUUUUCAGUAGUAAGGCUUCUUGCCGAUAUGAAGGGAACUUUUCAGAAAGAGACCUGCUCUGGGUCAUUUAAUUUUGAAUACAGUUUUCAAUCGUUCAAGUUUUGGAUGGUUUAUAUCUAAUGUGUGUUUCAUUUUUUUGGAAAGCUAUAUUUUGUAUUUAGGAAAUGGUAUACUAUUUUGCUAUUUGUACUGAGUGAGUACAUUGGCAUAAAUAUAAAAAUUUAUAUAUAUACAUAUAUAUAAAAUAUUCUUUUUGCCACACAUUUUUGUGGUAAAUUUGUGAGUUUGUCUGAUGUUCUACCACAACGUGGCGUCUGAUAACAGUGGGGUGGGGUGGGGUUUGUUAUGUCUUUAUUGAGUAUUUAAGUACUUUUUGCAACAUAAACAACUUGUUCAUCUCUCGCCAUUCCAUCAGGCAGUUUAUUGUUCCAACUGGCUAUGAGAAGCUUCCCUGUGUGUUCUGAUGUGUCCGUCACUCAGCAAUACAGUCUAGCAAGGAAACCUGUAGGCAUUUAGGCAUAUAUAAAGUAACAGGGUUUCAUUCAGGAUGAGCCAUUCAGCUUUUGUCCACGAUCAUUGUCUAUUUAAUAUUUUUAUUAUUAGUGCCUCUGUGUUUUAACUCUUAAUUUAUGAUUAUGCUAAUAUGUUUAAAAUUUUAAUCAUGAUAAAUACAAUUCCCUGCUUCCUAAUGUCCACUGCUGCUUUAACCCUGAACCAUACCUUUUCUUUCUGUGAUUUAUUUUUUAUCUCCUGCUAAGACAAGAUAUUAACAAUCUCUUUAUGGUUCAUGACAUGAAAGCAGCAAUCUAAAUGCUAUAUGAGGCUAUGUAGAAGACUGAGAAUUAUGGACCGAAGCAACUUCCAGAUGCUUGUGGAAGUCGAUAGCCAGUUAUUUGAAAAUGAACUUGUGGCUUUUGCAGGAUCACAGUCCCAGGACAAGCUGCUGGGUGUUGUCCAGAGCCUUCAUACACAGAAGAAGUAACAGGAAUGAUAAAUUCACUUGUGUGCUGCUUCAGUUUGUUCUGUUGUUCCAAAGGGGUGUAUCCUUACGUGGAAGUGUGGUUGGUCAGUGCCAAGUCACCAGGGACCAAUUCUCCAUUUAACAAGAUGGGUGUCCAAAAGAGAACUUCAUACCAAGACUGCUACAGCUCCAGGGGAAGGGUAUGUCUGAAUUGUGUGCGUGUUUUGGGUCGCUCGUGAAGAGAAGAGAAAAAAAAUGUAAAAUAAUAAAAAAGGGCUGUGCUAUCACGUUUUUCACUUCUGGAUAACACCUUUUCUUGUGUUAAAUUUAUCGUGUUCAUUUUAGGUCAAUGUUUAAAUGUACAACACUUGGAACAUGUGAUUUGGUUACAAAAAGUAUUUGUCUUCUGAAUGAAGAGAUUGCUCAGUGGUUGAUCAGUGCUUGCAGACAGCUGUUACAGAGGAUAAACAGAGGUUUGAUAAGCCAGUUAAAAGAGCUUAAAGACGGGCUGCAGGAUUUCAUGGCAGAAAGACCCAAGAAGAGUGUGAGCCACAUCUGUAUUUUAUCAGUCCUGAACAUUUACUUUUGGCAUUUAAGCAGUUGGUAUUGAUAAUUGGAGCUUACUCUGAUUUUUUUCUUUUAUUUUAAUCCCAUCCCUGUAUUUACUACUCUGCAUGCUCACUCUGGAUUGCCUGGGAUCUGUGAGUAGAUGGAUUCUCAGUAGUUGCCUGCAGAGGUGAGGCGGUGGCAUCAUGUCUAGUCCAUUUUGGGUGAGAAAGAAGAUACUGAGAUAUUAGUCUCUAUAAAUUUGAAGUUCUCGAUGCCAUUACUCUAAAGGGGAAGUUACUGUCAUAUCCGCAAAGCAGCAAUAAAGUGUCGAAGAUACUACUGGGUGAAAAUGGAAAACUGUAGAGCUGCAUUGCUGGGAUGGGUUUUAAGUGUCUUGGUUUUUUCGGCUGCCUUGAGCUCACUUCUGAAAGAACCAAGAAGUCUAAACCUCCGUGUUCAGUGUGGGCAGUACUCUUGAGCAUGUGCCUCUAACUCACCCAUGGUCCGCUCUGCGCAGCGUCUGUGGGGUGUUGGGUUCACAGAACACCCAUUUGUUGGCACAGGUUAAAAUCUGGGGAGAAUUAACCUGCUAGCUGCCAGUCAUGACUGCUGCAUGCAUUCUCUUGGCUGCUUAUACACUGGGUAUAUGUGUGUAUAUAUGUAUAAAAAUUGUAUGAAUAGCACAUAAUACACAGUUGUCAGCAUCUCCUCUGGCAGGAAGUUAUUGGAUCUUUGUGCUUAAUUAGCAAGUCCACGUUUUGUUAUUAAUUGCCUCCUCACUGUCUGAUCUUUCAGCAGUUAUUCAAGCCAAAUGUUUUUUUAUUAUUUUAAUAUAAAAGUAGUUCCAGAAAUUAUUUCAGGCUUGCUGAUUCAAAGUGGAUGUUUAAUCACCAAUCAUUUCAUUAUGAUUACUUCUAAUUACUGAUAGCGUGGUUACUUCCUGUAUAGUUUUAAAGUAGAAUAAAGCAUGAGCAGUUCAGCAUUUGUCACUUUGGCAGGUUUUUUAACUGGAAAAACUGAGAGUCUGGGCAGCUGUAUCAGUGGACAUUCCCCUAAUUUAGAUAAGUUGAUUUAUUUGUAUUUAUUUACUUUUUAAGCUUCUAUUGUGAUUUUGGUUUAGGAUAUCGUUUCUAAAUAGAAAACUUGUCUGAACGGAUUUUCUAUUACCUUUCCAGAGUCUUCAGAAAGAAUACUAAUCAAGUCAGAAGCUUGCAUUUGUCUUAAAACCUAGUUUAAAUCAUUAUUUGAGGAAGAGGAAAGAUGAUUUAUUAAAAAGCAAAAUCCAAAAGUUGUUGCUGGACUAAAAAAGCUGCACGUGGUUUCCCCUAAGGGUAUGUUCAUUAAGAGGAAAGAGUUUGCCUGUCAGUGUUUGGCUCUCUACAGUGCUUCUGUGCAGCAAACUGGGGCUGCUUUUUCAGGGUAAUUCCACGAAAGGAGUACGAGGGAUUACAGGCAGCGACAGAGGCAAGAACAAGGAGAAUGAAUUGCUUUGCAUGCUCUGAGCUAUGAGGUGUGUGUGGAAGUUGAGAAGAACUAUUGAUCACUGGUGACUUUUCAUUAGUGCAGUGUUUAUUUUCAAGGAAUAGGUGUUUGUUGUGUUCUGGAGGACUGGUGACAGUUCCAGUCUUUUAGCAGCUAAAAGGAAACAAGCACUGAGAUGCUUUCUUUGGCUGGGGGAUUUGUUUCAAUUUGGAGCAGUCUUUUGAGAUAGAUUGUGAGCUGUUGAAAUGGGAUAAAGAAACUUGCAGCAGCAGAUGAACUCUGGUAGAAGUGUACUUGUAAAGUUCUUUAAUGGAGUUUGGGGCUCUGAGGGGUCACGCAGGAGGGAGCAGCUUUUCCUUUCUUACAGUCUGUAUAAGUAUGUAAAUAGGCAAUGCCUGUAUAUUCUAGGAUUAUAUAUAUGUAUAUAGAGGAAUCAUAUCUAUUAUACACAAAUGAUAAGUAGGCACAUGCAUAGAAUACUGUUAUAUUUACAUUUUUAUAAACCUGAAAUAAUACUACUUUUCCUUAGUAUGAGGUCAUUUACCAAGGGUUUUGUAGUUAUUCAUUAAUAGUUGUCUGAACACUUGAGUACCGUACAUGUGGUGCUGUUGGUAGCAUUGCUCUGCUUGUGAACGUCACUGAUAGCUGUGGGUUGGAAACAGCUGUACACUUUUGUACUUUUAUAUGUUUUUAUUCAUAGUUUCAGCUGUGGGGUAGCGAAGCACUCGAACUGACAGCCCUGGGCAGAGCUGCUGCUGGAUGGGCUCUGGAGAUGCGGCGGCAGCAUGGGCUGUCUGCAUCCGUGUGCUCCCCUGCCAGCUUUCCAUGGGUUACUCCUGAUUUGGGGACCUUUUCCCGUUCUCAGUCUCCUGCAGCUCGUGCAGGUAGGGAAUGGUGGUGGCCGUGUUGCUCCGGAGGAGCUGGGCUGAGGCCAGCAGCUCUCUGCUGGUGGGUUAUAGUUGUUGCAGAGCAAAGAAUCAGGCUGCAGCUCAGCUGGGUUGUGUUUGGAUCGAGAAGGUUAAGCUUAUUCUGUCACUCCUCUCUCUUAUCAUAGAGACAGGCAUGUUUACUUUCUUUAAUCUGACAUUUUACUGCAACAGUCCAUAUCUACAAAACUCCUUGGAAGCUGGUGAGAGCUCUCCUUGGUUUUCAGGCAUGAGGGACCCUGUACGCUGAUCUCUUACUUAGAUUGUGUGAGGAGCUAAACUUUCUCAAAGAAAUCCAGAUUGUCGUGUCACUGGUGUGUAUUUUAUUCACCAGGACUCUUGAUGACGAAUCAGGUGCAGUUUGACAGGAGGUUGAUCACUGAACAUUGUUGUCCUGGUACAGGCUCUAUCCAAGCAACUCUGCCAAACUGAAUGCAAAUGCCCUGAUUUCCUCUCUUUGAGCCAUCAUUUUGCAGGUCUCAUCUCUGCUGUUCCAGAGAUCUGUAAUUUUUGCUGUUACAGUUCAUGAAAUUGCCUCACAAUAUUCAAGUGUUUUGGGGGUGAGGAACCCCAGGAUUCCUCUGCUUGCUGUGGGACACUCACCGACACUCUGCUUGGUUCAGACUCCAAACCUCCACCACCCAGCAGCACUGUGAAAUACUCCAGUUGUGUUUGUUUGCUCCAGGACUCAGAUGAGUCAAGGGCCCUGUGUUGGGAUCGUGUAGAUGUCCAUGACUUCGCUGUGGUCCCUGGAGCUGCCCCUCUGAGCUGGGGCUGGUCUGAUCCGAGUGUCCCUUGUUCAGGAGUGUGGCUGUUGCAGAGGUUGGGAUAACAGUGCUCGGGGGAAGCUCCCUUUUGGAAGGAUAGAGAGCAGUGCCUCGGGGUGUUGCAGAACUGUGCACACAUUCCCAUGUCCUGCUUAGUAGACCACAGUAUUCCUGAAGCCUUUUUAUUGCGGACGUGAUUUGAACUACUUACGUUUGAGCUCAUUAUUAAGGAGUAAGCUCCAACAAACCUUGAGAGCAGAGCUUUCUACCUCUGUCACUAGCUGCAUCUUGGAGUGGCUUUACCCACCUUUCUGCCAUGCUUUCCUGGGGCACCGGUCAACUGCUGAGCUGCCUCUUCCACUGUCCUGCAAUGUGAAAGUAGCACCAGAUAUUCCUUUGUGCAUUUCUGUGUAUAUGGCUUUCGUAGUUGGGGGUUUUCCAAGCACUGAUACCCAGUGUUUUCAGUUUGUUCUACGAGGGGAUAUUUUAUUUGCAUCUAUGUUUUUAGCUAUCCUGUGAUAACUUGUUGAAUAUUAAAAAACAAAAAUAUUUUGCUUCUAUUGGGACAUUUGUAUACUCGCAACUAUAUUUCUGUAAACAGCUGCAGUCAAGAAUAAAACAAUGAAAGUUUUCAUUUUGCAGUGUAAA
Molecule: long non-coding RNA, 7344 nt
Filed under: Strigops habroptila (Kakapo)
Lineage: Eukaryota; Metazoa; Chordata; Aves; Psittaciformes; Psittacidae
Description: lncRNA (ENSSHBG00005009899.1)
Source: RNAcentral